Long non-coding RNA from Oreochromis niloticus (Nile tilapia), 1218 nucleotides. RefSeq lists it as uncharacterized. The record is from RefSeq and is a predicted model, not a curated record. The transcript has 2 exons. Lineage: Eukaryota; Metazoa; Chordata; Actinopteri; Cichliformes; Cichlidae.
UGUUUGGAAAGAGUUCCAGCUUCAUCACGGAGUUUCUCUCGGUUUGUGGGCUCAUCUAAAGUUUAUUGUCAACACGUUGAGAGAAGAGUGAGAGAGUGUUUGGAGAAAAACACCAACUAAUCAUUAGCUCAACAUGCUACUGGUGUCAACCCAGCCUCCAGUUUGAGAAUUAAAGUCAAGUCAGCCUCCACCAUGUUUUGUGUUUCCUUUGUAUUGUAAGUAUUACGGCAGGAUACGCGGACACCUGAUUUCAAACUAAAGACCAGCUUCGACUGAAUUAACAGAUAUGUUAAGAACAUAAAAAAUAUUAUUUAGUCUUUAGUCAGCUGCUGUGGAUGAACACAUGAGAGGAAGUGAACUCCUACAAAGUCUCAUUUUAAUGAGUCUGGCUGCUGUAAAGUGAUGCACAGGAAGAUGUUAACAAAAACUAAUGAAACAGAGAUGAAAGUAAACAGUGUUCAUAUUUGAAAGCACAGAGAAUAAAAAUAUAUUGUGCUGGUUAAUGUGCAGCUCUUGGUGAUUUGGGAGAAAAAUGUUUUUAAUCAUGUUGUGGAUUGAAUGUUGGGUUUUAUUUAUUUUGUCUACAGAAGUUUUUCCCACUUGUGAUCAUUCAGAUUGAUUUUUUUUGGCUUGACUUGAAUCAUGUGAAGGUUUAAAGCUGCACUUCCCCCAAAAAGAAUAAAGUAUAAUCAUGAAGAAUGUAAUAAUGUCUUCCUGUGUCAAACACAGCUGCAGUCAAAGCAGGAAGUAAAGCACUGAAACCACUGAUCAAUGACCAUCAGUACUGUGGGAAAUAUAAAUGUUGCAAUAUUUCAAUAAGUGCCAUAUUAAUCAAAAGGCGAUAGAAGGUUUAAACUGGAAGACAUUUAAAGUAGUGUUUUGCUUGUAACUGCAUACUUGCCUGCGCAGAUUAGAACAGGAUGUGUCAUAUACGAUCAUGGGGCCUCACAACGAGAAACAGGAAACAGAUGGAGGUGAGAGAGUGUUGAAACCGUUAGUGAGGAACAAACAUCAAUACUAUAAAAGUAGUUGCAGACAGCUGUCACUCACCGUCACUGGCGCAUGUUAUGUUAUCUGCUUACGCGUGAAGGGGCGUGAACCCUGACAUAUAAAACUGUAUAUCGAAGUGCUUCCUCUUUGAAAUCUACUGGACUACGCUGAGGGUGGUGUCGUGUACAUCUCCCACAUAUAUGCUUAAUAAAUAAUUGUUGUUGACUG